Molecule: ribosomal RNA, 255 nt
Filed under: uncultured Pseudomonas sp.
Lineage: Bacteria; Pseudomonadati; Pseudomonadota; Gammaproteobacteria; Pseudomonadales; Pseudomonadaceae
Description: partial 16S ribosomal RNA
Rfam family: Bacterial small subunit ribosomal RNA
Source: RNAcentral
CGGCGGACGGGUGAGUAAUGCCUAGGAAUCUGCCUGGUAGUGGGGGACAACGUUUCGAAAGGAACGCUAAUACCGCAUACGUCCUACGGGAGAAAGCAGGGACCUCGGGCCUUGCGCUAUCAGAUGAGCCUAGGUCGGAUUAGCUAGUUGGUGAGGUAAUGGCUCACCAAGGCGACGAUCCGUAACUGGUCUGAGAGGAUGAUCAGUCACACUGGAACUGAGACACGGUCCAGACUCCUACGGGAGGCAGCAGGU